Molecule: long non-coding RNA, 1280 nt
Filed under: Anas platyrhynchos platyrhynchos (common mallard)
Lineage: Eukaryota; Metazoa; Chordata; Aves; Anseriformes; Anatidae
Description: lncRNA (ENSAPLG00000017813.1)
Source: RNAcentral
GGGGGGGCCCGGGGGGCCCGAUCCGCGGCGGGGCGGAGCGGCGGGGGGGGGUCCCCGGCGAGCUCCCCCCGCUCCGGGCAGCCUCGUCCCGGCGGGGCGGAGCGGGGCGCUGCGCGGUGGCUCGGCGGCUUUGCGCGCAAGUUGCGCGGCCGCGGGGCUCGGAGGCAGCGCGCAGCCCCCGGGAGGUGCCCGCAGCCUCCUCCUGCCCCGGGGCUGCGGGGCAGGGCUGGGGCUCCCCGGGGGCUGCGCGUCCUUCCCGUGCGGCUGCUCCUUCUGUAAUUAGCGCGGGGUAAUUAGCGCCGAUGUCCCGUCCCCGAAAGCGCAGGGGCCGAGGGUUUGUCCCGCUCCGCCAGGGUUUUGCUUUUGUCCCGGCGGGGAGCGGGGCGCGGGGCUCGGGGAGCUCCCCGCAGGCACAAAGCCGGCCCCGGAGCAGGGCAGCAGCUCGGGGCCGGGCAGCCCAAAGGCUUUCCCAUCCUAGGAGGUAGGCAGAAAAGAUGAAAAAAAAUAAAAUAAAAAAGAAACUGUUUAGAGUAAAAUAAAGGAAAUCCGUUUCGAGGACCCAGAGGAGAAGCGAGAACGUUAAAAAUUAACAGCGGAAACAGGAAACACUUCGCUGGGUAAACACAGGCUCCCAAUUUCGCCGUAUGAAAGCCGGGAGGGCGCAAGGUGCUCGCCGGCACCGCGGCCACCCGCGCCCCGCCGCGGUACCUGCCUGCGGCCUCCCGAGCGGGGCCGGGCCGGGAAGCGGGGCCGAGGCGGGGAGAGCCCCGGUCCUCGCGAACCGCUGUGGUGGCAAAGAUCGGAACUGCAGGAGCUGCCGAGCGCCGGGAGCCGAGCCGUCCGCCAGAGAUGCGGAGAAGGGAAUAGCAGGGCUCCCCGCCGCCGGGGAGACGGGACGGGAGAGCCGGGGGCGAGAAUUUUGUGUGCCUCCCUCCCGUUCCUGCCCGUCUUCUGCUAAAGCCUGGGAGCUCCUUGCGCUCCUUCUCCCUCUCCUUCCCGGGGCAGCACCGCCGGGAGCGCUGCCCCCGAUCCGGCCGGGGCUGCAGGCAGCCGGAGCCGGCAGGAAAUUUUGGAUGGGCGACCACGGAAAAACCUCGCUUUGCAGCGGGCACGCACCGCGCCUGCCCCUGCGUUUGUCCAGCCGGACUGUGGAACAGGCUCCUAAAAACGCAGCACACUUCGGCUUCCAUCCCAAAUCCCAGCAAACGCAAUGUCGGGUGGCGAAAAGAUCCCUCUUGCAAGCGGAUAGCCAGGAUUUCUUUGCAAACAGCGGGGACUGA